Molecule: ribosomal RNA, 468 nt
Filed under: uncultured bacterium
Lineage: Bacteria
Description: partial 16S ribosomal RNA
Rfam family: Bacterial small subunit ribosomal RNA
Source: RNAcentral
GACGAACGCUGGCGGCGUGCUUAACACAUGCAAGUCGAACGGAAAGGCCCUGCUCUUGCGGGGUGCUCGAGUGGCGAACGGGUGAGUAACACGUGAGUAACCUGCCCCUGACUGUGGGAUAACUUCUGGAAACUGGGGCUAAUAUCGGAUAGGAGCUCCUGCUGCACGGUGGGGGUUGGAAAGUUUCGGCGGUUGGGGAUGGACUCGCGGCUUAUCGGCUUGUUUGUGGGGUAGGUGCUUACCAAGCCUGUGACGGCUAGCCGGCCUGGGAGGGGGACCGGCGACCUUGGGACUGAGGUACGGCGCAGUAGCCUACGGGAGGCAGCAGGGGGGAACAUUGCGGAAUGGGCGGAAGCCUGAGACAGCAGCGUCGCGUGCGGGAUGCCCGCCUUCGGGUUGUAAACCGCUUUCGCCUGUGACGAAGCGUGAGUGACGGUAAUGGGUAAAAAAGCACCGGCUAACUACGUG